This 272-nucleotide ribosomal RNA is filed under the name uncultured bacterium. Its description in RNAcentral is "partial small subunit ribosomal RNA". It matches the Rfam family "Bacterial small subunit ribosomal RNA", at positions 26 to 285 of the family's 1533-position model. The record is from RNAcentral.
AGAAUCAACGCUGGCGGUGUGCCUAACACAUGCAAGUCGAACGCGAAAGUCCCGCAAGGGGCAAGUAGAGUGGCAAACGGGUGAGUAACACGUGGGUGACCUGCCUUCGAGUGGGGGAUAACGUCCCGAAAGGGACGCUAAUACCGCAUGACAUCCUGCCUUUGGAAAGGCGGAGAUCAAAGCCGGGGAUCGCAAGACCUGGCGCUUGAAGAGGGGCCCGCGCCUGAUUAGCUAGUUGGUAGGGUAACGGCCUACCAAGGCGACGAUCAGUA